AUACAGGGGGUGCGAGCGUUAAUGGGAAUUACUGGGCGUAAAGAGUACGUAGGCGGUUGCUUAAGUCAGAUGUGAAAGCCCCGGGCUCAACCUGGGAACUGCAUUUGAAACUGAGUGACUAGAGUUUAAGAGAGGGGAGUAGAAUUCCGGGUGUAGCGGUGAAAUGCGUAGAGAUCCGGAGGAAUACCAGUGGCGAAGGCGGCUCCCUGGCUUAAAACUGACGCUGAGGUACGAAAGCGUGGGUAGCAAACAGGAUUAGAAACCCUGGUAGUCC
This 274-nucleotide ribosomal RNA is filed under the name uncultured bacterium. RNAcentral's name for it is "partial 16S ribosomal RNA". It matches the Rfam family "Bacterial small subunit ribosomal RNA", at positions 523 to 796 of the family's 1533-position model. The record is from RNAcentral.